GUAACCAAACACCCCAUUUCAACACAAAAAAAAAUUUAGAAGUGCAGAUUUUUUUUCUUCAUUCUUCAUUCUCUAACUUCUCUCUACUUUCUCUCUCAUUUUCCUUUACUUUCUUGGAGGCCAAACACCACACCUUUGCUCCACCCUUACACCACCACCUUGACCCACCAUCUCCACCACCUCCGGCCACCUUAUCUCGCCGGAAAAUGGGUCCGGUCGGCACUCCUUGAAUCCAUCCGAAAAUAACACAAUAGAAGCACAAACUCUAGAUUUUUCUUAAUCUUUUGAAGAAUCAAAGCAUGGGAUUUAUUUUCUUGAUGGAUUAGAGGCUUGUACUUGAUUCAUAGACUUUUGUGUGGCUCGCCUCAACUUGGAAGACUAGAAUUUUUUUGAAGGAUCACAGGUGGGCAUCUUGUGGUUGAGGUUUUGCUUAGGGUCAUUCUAGGAUGUAAGCUUACCCUUUUUUUUUUAUGAAGGAGGUUGAUUGUAAAAAUUGCUUAUGAAGUUGGAUGUAUUGAUGGAUUCGUGAUUAGUAUGUAUUAUAUUUUUUUUUGGGAGGAAAUGCUUGGGAACUA
Camellia sinensis is the source of this 575-nucleotide non-coding RNA. Lineage: Eukaryota; Viridiplantae; Streptophyta; Magnoliopsida; Ericales; Theaceae. The record is from RefSeq and is a predicted model, not a curated record.